This is a long non-coding RNA of Metopolophium dirhodum (rose-grain aphid), 1991 nucleotides long. RefSeq lists it as uncharacterized. The transcript has 7 exons. The record is from RefSeq and is a predicted model, not a curated record. Lineage: Eukaryota; Metazoa; Arthropoda; Insecta; Hemiptera; Aphididae.
AAUGAAUAAAUAUUAUAUUCUCAAUCCACCCUCACUCUGUUAGACAACUUUCUGAAGACUCACAAUCUGGAAAUGAAGAUACAUGCUUUAUUCGAUUGGUAACUGAGCGUGAAUCAAUAUUAUUAAGACUGAAAAUAAUGUUUUCGUAGCAGCUAGUCCAUAUUUUUGUUAUCAGUUUGGAAAAAAGCAACAAUUGAAAUCUUGUUGAUAUGAGUUAGAUUCCACCGUUUUACUUAUAUUUUUAGACUCCUAUCCGGUUUGUAACCGGCUGCAAAUCGCUAAUAGUUGGACUAUACAAGUGGUAUAUGUUCAGAGAUUUUACUAACACAAACGGAUACUUCAAAUUAUCUUUCUAUAAAAUCAUUUGCCAACUUACAUAAUUGUACGGAGUUCUCUCAAGUUCUGAAGCAUUCAUCAGUAACCAUAAUUUUAUAUGCCUUUGAAUGUGUUAUUAAAUGGGUAACCCUUGUUUUAAUUGGAGAAAAAUGUAUUGCCAAUAUUAAUUACUUUUGCCACGUUUGCCACUAUCAGUAUCAACACUCGAUGUUUAGUAAAUAACGUGGUUCAAGAAACACUUCUGAAAAAAAUUCUAAAUAAGUCAGUUCAGCAUUUCGCUAUUCCAAAUACGAUUCGGUGUAGAGGUUUUUGAUGUCACUGUUCAAAAAUAGAUAACUAGUAUGACUACUAAAGUGAUUUGCGUGUGGGCAUACUUAAUCAUCGUUUAUAAGAGAUAGGUUUAUUAAAACAUUUGAUGUCUGUCGAACGUUAUGAUUCCACACAUAAACUACCUAGUUGAAGAACAGUCUGUAUAUCAUGAAAGUGUUUAUAUAGAAUUUUGGAUGUUGUUAUGUAUGCUAUCAGUGAUGGAUCAAUAUUUCCUGUAGACUAAUGAAAGAGCGUAGUCUUUUAUUGCUAAUAUAUUUCUCGAUACAUGGAGUAGUUGAAUCACAUUGUUUAAUGUAUUUGAUUGACGGAAAAACAAAGAAAUCUGAAGAAUUUGUUUAUACUAUUGAAGUGUACAACCCAACAUCAACACCUGGUCCAUGGAAAUAUUGUCAACAAGUUACAUUGACGUCUGUGUGUUUAGUUGAAUAGUUUUUAAUAGGCCACCACAUUUUAUAUCUCAUUAGCAUUAAUUAUAGUCUUAUUAUUGGUUGUAACACAGAUGAUUAACUUAAGAUAAAACAUAUAUUUAUUUUAUCAAUUUUAGUUUUUUUCUGAAUGUUCAAUAAAAAGUGUUUUAUAUAAUUUAAAUCAACUAUUGCAUUCAAGUUAAAGAAAUACAGCUUAUAUUCAGUAGGUAUACUCAUAACAGUAAAUAAUAGUUUUUUCUCAACAAUUCUUUGCUUUAUACUUAAAUACGUAUUCUUAAGUAGUAGUGUACAAUAAAAUGGAAAAGAGUCAGUAAGCUGUAUAUCAAGAAAAAAAACUAUAUUCUAAGUCAUUGCAACACAUAAGCAACUUCAUUUAAAAUCAUAGGCAUUAAGUUUAUUAUAUCGCUUCAAAUAGUAGCAAGAUCGUCAUUGCUUACAUAGUAGUUACAUUUAUAUGGAAUACAGUCUACAGAUUAAAAAUUAUAAGUAAUAGUUGCGCUUUGCAUCAGUUCAUAUAGGUACCUAAGCAUUUUAUAGACCUAAUCUAAUUUUGAAAAUAAAUUUAAAAUUUUAUAUUCUGAGCUGAGUAAUGAAGAUAUUGUUAUUACAAUGAUGUUUUUUUUUGUAUCUGUUAUCACCUUUUGGGACAGAAAAAAUGCUUCUAUUUUUUUCAAAAGCGUCUUUUUUGGCAAAAAAGUGAAUUUAGUUUGUACUUUGGGGGUCAAAGCUCAAAAGUUCCCAAUAGUUUACAAAAGUGCCAGUAAGAGCAAACAAAAAUUAAGGAAAAGCUGCAAACUCAAUUUUUAAAAAAAUUGAUUUUAUUUAUAAUGUAACUAAAAAAAUAACUGAAUGUAGAUGUUAUUUUCAUUGAAUGUUUAUAUUAUUAUCAAUUUCUAU